RNAcentral lists this ribosomal RNA (901 nucleotides) under Russula sp. RNAcentral describes it as "partial large subunit ribosomal RNA". It matches the Rfam family "Eukaryotic large subunit ribosomal RNA", at positions 65 to 946 of the family's 3401-position model. The record is from RNAcentral. Lineage: Eukaryota; Fungi; Basidiomycota; Agaricomycetes; Russulales; Russulaceae.
CUAACAGGAUUCCCCUAGUAACUGCGAGUGAAGCGGGAAAAGCUCAAAUUUAAAAUCUGAUGGUCGUUUGGCCAUCCGAGUUGUAAUUUAGAGAAGCGUCUUCCGCGCUGGACCGUGCAUAAGUCUCCUGGAACGGAGCGUCAUAGAGGGUGAGAAUCCCGUCUUUGGCAUGGACCCCCAGGGCUUCUGUGAUGCGCUCUCGAAGAGUCGAGUUGUUUGGGAAUGCAGCUCAAAAUGGGUGGUGAACUCCAUCUAAAGCUAAAUAUUGGCGAGAGACCGAUAGCGAACAAGUACCGUGAGGGAAAGAUGAAAAGCACUUUGGAAAGAGAGUGAAACAGUACGUGAAAUUGUUGAAAGGGAAACGCUUGAAGUCAGUCGCGUCGACCGAGACUCAGCCUUGCCUCGGCUUGGUGUACUUCUCGGCUGAUGGGCCAGCAUCAAUUUCGAUCCUUGGAUAAUGGCGGAGGGAAUGUGGCACCUUUACGGGUGUGUUAUAGCCCUCUGUCGGAUGCAAGGGUUGGGAUUGAGGAACUCAGCAUGCACCUCUUGGUGUUGGGGCCUUGGCUCACAUACAUGCUUAGGAUGCUGGCAUAAUGGCUUUAAACGACCCGUCUUGAAACACGGACCAAGGAGUCUAACAUACCCGCAAGUGUUCGGGUGGAAAACCCGUGCGCGCAAUGAAAGUAAAAGUUGGGACCUCUGUCGUGGAGGGCACCGACGCCUGGACCAGACCUUCUGUGACGGCUCUACGGUAGAGCGUGUAUGUUGGGACCCGAAAGAUGGUGAACUAUGCCUGAAUAGGGUGAAGCCAGAGGAAACUCUGGUGGAGGCUCGUAGCGAUUCUGACGUGCAAAUCGAUCGUCAAUUUGGGUAUAGGGGCGAAAGACUAAUCGAACAUCUA